RNAcentral lists this ribosomal RNA (497 nucleotides) under uncultured bacterium. Its description in RNAcentral is "partial 16S ribosomal RNA". It matches the Rfam family "Bacterial small subunit ribosomal RNA", at positions 28 to 507 of the family's 1533-position model. The record is from RNAcentral.
GAUGAACGCUGGCGGCGUGCCUAAUACAUGCAAGUCGAGCGAACGGACGAGAAGCUUGCUUCUCUGAUGUUAGCGGCGGACGGGUGAGUAACACGUGGAUAACCUACCUAUAAGACUGGGAUAACUUCGGGAAACCGGAGCUAAUACCGGAUAAUAUUUUGAACCGCAUGGUUCAAAAGUGAAAGACGGUCUUGCUGUCACUUAUAGAUGGAUCCGCGCUGCAUUAGCUAGUUGGUAAGGUAACGGCUUACCAAGGCAACGAUGCAUAGCCGACCUGAGAGGGUGAUCGGCCACACUGGAACUGAGACACGGUCCAGACUCCUACGGGAGGCAGCAGUAGGGAAUCUUCCGCAAAGGGCGAAAGCCUGACGGAGCAACGCCGCGUGAGUGAUGAAGGUCUUCGGAUCGUAAAACUCUGUUAUUAGGGAAGAACAUGUGUGUAAGUAACUGUGCACAUCUUGACGGUACCUAAUCAGAAAGCCACGGCUAACUACGUG